This 429-nucleotide ribosomal RNA is filed under the name bacterium. Its description in RNAcentral is "partial 16S ribosomal RNA". It matches the Rfam family "Bacterial small subunit ribosomal RNA", at positions 355 to 776 of the family's 1533-position model. RNAcentral also lists the same sequence under 2 other names. The record is from RNAcentral.
UAGGGAAUCUUCGGCAAUGGACGAAAGUCUGACCGAGCAACGCCGCGUGAGUGAAGAAGGUUUUCGGAUCGUAAAACUCUGUUGUUAGAGAAGAACAAGGACGUUAGUAACUGAACGUCCCCUGACGGUAUCUAACCAGAAAGCCACGGCUAACUACGUGCCAGCAGCCGCGGUAAUACGUAGGUGGCAAGCGUUGUCCGGAUUUAUUGGGCGUAAAGCGCGCGCAGGCGGUUUCUUAAGUCUGAUGUGAAAGCCCCCGGCUCAACCGGGGAGGGUCAUUGGAAACUGGGAGACUUGAGUGCAGAAGAGGAGAGUGGAAUUCCAUGUGUAGCGGUGAAAUGCGUAGAUAUAUGGAGGAACACCAGUGGCGAAGGCGGCUCUCUGGUCUGUAACUGACGCUGAGGCUCGAAAGCGUGGGGAGCAAACAGG